UACGUAGGGGGCUAGCGUUGUCCGGAAUUAUUGGGCGUAAAGCGCGUGUAGGCGGUUCGGUAAGUCCGCUGUGAAAGUCGGGGGCUCAACCCUCGGAAGCCGGUGGAUACUGUCGAGCUAGAGUACGGAAGAGGCGAGUGGAAUUCCUGGUGUAGCGGUGAAAUGCGCAGAUAUCAGGAGGAACACCAAUGGCGAAGGCAGCUCGCUGGGACGUUACUGACGCUGAGACGCGAAAGCGUGGGGAGCAAACAGG
Molecule: ribosomal RNA, 253 nt
Filed under: uncultured bacterium
Lineage: Bacteria
Description: partial 16S ribosomal RNA
Rfam family: Bacterial small subunit ribosomal RNA
Source: RNAcentral